GCUGGCGGCAGGCCUAACACAUGCAAGUCGAGCGGUAGAGAGAAGCUUGCUUCUCUUGAGAGCGGCGGACGGGUGAGUAAUGCCUAGGAAUCUGCCUGGUAGUGGGGGAUAACGUUCGGAAACGGACGCUAAUACCGCAUACGUCCUACGGGAGAAAGCAGGGGACCUUCGGGCCUUGCGCUAUCAGAUGAGCCUAGGUCGGAUUAGCUAGUUGGUGAGGUAAUGGCUCACCAAGGCGACGAUCCGUAACUGGUCUGAGAGGAUGAUCAGUCACACUGGAACUGAGACACGGUCCAGACUCCUACGGGAGGCAGCAGUGGGGAAUAUUGGACAAUGGGCGAAAGCCUGAUCCAGCCAUGCCGCGUGUGUGAAGAAGGUCUUCGGAUUGUAAAGCACUUUAAGUUGGGAGGAAGGGUUGUAGAUUAAUACUCUGCAAUUUUGACGUUACCGACAGAAUAAGCACCGGCUAACUCUGUGCCAGCAGCCGCGGUAAUACAGAGGGUGCAAGCGUUAAUCGGAAUUACUGGGCGUAAAGCGCGCGUAGGUGGUUUGUUAAGUUGGAUGUGAAAUCCCCGGGCUCAACCUGGGAACUGCAUUCAAAACUGACUGACUAGAGUAUGGUAGAGGGUGGUGGAAUUUCCUGUGUAGCGGUGAAAUGCGUAGAUAUAGGGAGGAACACCAGUGGCGAAGGCGACCACCUGGACUAAUACUGACACUGAGGUGCGAAAGCGUGGGGAGCAAACAGGAUUAGAUACCCUGGUAGUCC
RNAcentral lists this ribosomal RNA (766 nucleotides) under uncultured bacterium. Its description in RNAcentral is "bacterial SSU rRNA". It matches the Rfam family "Bacterial small subunit ribosomal RNA", at positions 35 to 796 of the family's 1533-position model. The record is from RNAcentral.